UGGGGAAUAUUGCACAAUGGGGGAAACCCUGAUGCAGCGACGCCGCGUGGAGGAAGAAGGUCUUCGGAUUGUAAACUCCUGUUGUUGAGGAAGAUAAUGACGGUACUCAACAAGGAAGUGACGGCUAACUACGUGCCAGCAGCCGCGGUAAAACGUAGGUCACAAGCGUUGUCCGGAAUUACUGGGUGUAAAGGGAGCGCAGGCGGGGAGACAAGUUGGAAGUGAAAUCCAUGGGCUCAACCCAUGAACUGCUUUCAAAACUGGUCGUCUUGAGUAGUGCAGAGGUAGGCGGAAUUCCCGGUGUAGCGGUGGAAUGCGUAGAUAUCGGGAGGAACACCAGUGGCGAAGGCGGCCUACUGGGCACCAACUGACGCUGAGGCUCGAAAGUGUGGGUAGCAAACAGGAUUAGAUACCCUGGUAGUCCACACCGUAAACGAUGAUUACUAGGUGUUGGGAGAUUGACCCCUUCAGUGCCGCAGUUAACACAAUAAGUAAUCCACCUGGGGAGUACGACCGCAAGGUUGAAACUCAAAGGAAUUGACGGGGGCCCGCACAAGCAGUGGAGUAUGUGGUUUAAUUCGAAGCAACGCGAAGAACCUUACCAGGUCUUGACAUCCGAUGCAUAGUGCAGAGAUGCAUGAAGUCCUUCGGGACAUCGAGACAGGUGGUGCAUGGUUGUCGUCAGCUCGUGUCGUGAGAUGUUGGGUUAAGUCCCGCAACGAGCGCAACCCUUAUUGCCAGUUACUACGCAAGAGGACUCUGGCGAGACUGCCGUUGACAAAACGGAGGAAGGUGGGGAUGACGUCAAAUCAUCAUGCCCCUUAUGACCUGGGCUACACACGUACUACAAUGGAUGUUAACAGAGGGAAGCAAGACAGUGAUGUGGAGCAAACCCCUAAAAACAUUCUCAGUUCAGAUUGCAGGCUGCAACCCGCCUGCAUGAAGAUGGAAUUGCUAGUAAUCGCGGAUCAGCAUGCCGCGGUGAAUACGUUCCC
Molecule: ribosomal RNA, 995 nt
Filed under: uncultured bacterium
Lineage: Bacteria
Description: bacterial SSU rRNA
Rfam family: Bacterial small subunit ribosomal RNA
Source: RNAcentral